RNAcentral lists this ribosomal RNA (254 nucleotides) under uncultured bacterium. Its description in RNAcentral is "partial 16S ribosomal RNA". It matches the Rfam family "Bacterial small subunit ribosomal RNA", at positions 524 to 776 of the family's 1533-position model. The record is from RNAcentral.
UACGGAGGGUGCGAGCGUUGUCCGGAAUCACUGGGCGUAAAGGGCGCGUAGGCGGCCUGAUAAGUAGGGGGUGAAAUCCUGCGGCUUAACCGCAGGGCUGCCUUCUAAACUGUCAGGCUGGAGCACAGUAGAGGCAGGUGGAAUUCCCGGUGUAGCGGUGGAAUGCGUAGAGAUCGGGAAGAACACCGGAGGCGAAGGCGGCUUGCUGGGCGUGAUCUGACGCUGAGGCGCGAAAGCGUGGGGGAGCGAACAGG